UUGAUUUAUAAGUCUCUUGGGAAAUCUCACGGCUUAACUGUGAGGCGUCUAAGAGAUACUGGGAAUCUAGGGACCGGGAGAGGUAAGAGGUACUUCAGGGGUAGAAGUGAAAUUCUGUAAUCCUUGAGGGACCACCGAUGGCGAAGGCAUCUUACCAGAACGGCUUCGACAGUGAGGAACGAAAGCUGGGGGAGCGAACGGGAUUAGAUACCCCGGUAGUCCCAGCCGCAAACUAUGCGCGUUAGGUGUGCCUGUAACUACGAGUUACCGGGGAGCCGAAGUGAAAACGUGAAACGUGCCGCCUGGGAAGUACGGUCGCAAGGCUGAAACUUAAAGGAAUUGGCGGGGAGCACCACAACGGGUGGAGCCUGCGGUUUAAUUGGACUCAACGCCGGGCAGCUCACCGGAUAGGACAGCGGAAUGAUAGCCGGGCUGAAGACCUUGCUUGACCAGCUGAGAGGAGGUGCAUGGCCGUCGUCAGUUCGUACUGUAAAGCAUCCUGUUUAGUCAGGCAACGAGCGAGACCCACGCCAACAGUUGCUAGCAUGUUCUCCGGAAUGAUGAGGACACUGUUGGGACCGCCAGUGAUAAAUUGGAGGAAGGAGUGGACGACGGU
RNAcentral lists this ribosomal RNA (616 nucleotides) under uncultured rumen archaeon. RNAcentral's name for it is "SSU rRNA". It matches the Rfam family "Archaeal small subunit ribosomal RNA", at positions 526 to 1142 of the family's 1478-position model. The record is from RNAcentral.